This 94-nucleotide transfer RNA is filed under the name Nanobdellota archaeon. Its description in RNAcentral is "tRNA-Asn". It matches the Rfam family "tRNA". Rfam says of the family: Transfer RNA (tRNA) molecules are approximately 80 nucleotides in length. The record is from RNAcentral. Lineage: Archaea; Nanobdellati; Nanobdellota.
GCCCCAGUAGCUUAGCGGUCGGAGCGCGCGGCUGUUAACCGCGUGGUCGCAGGUUCAAAAGCCAGUUACAUGCAUGAAUGUCCUGCCUGGGGCG